AAUCAUCAACUGCCUUGAUGGGCUUUUGCUCCCAGAAGGGUGAGGUUGGAUUUGGAGGAUGAUUUUGCUGGCGGCUCUUCACCGAGCUUUUGUCGGCUCCUCUAGAAUGCAUGGGCCUUCCUGUGCACCAGCGAAGCGACUCUCUGAUGUGAUAAUUAUCUACGUCGGACGGUCGCGCUCGCUUUGGGCACGAUGGAUUGCAAAACGCAGCUCGCAUCUUUCAGGAUGGUGUGUCUUUGACAAAU
Molecule: unclassified non-coding RNA, 245 nt
Filed under: uncultured Phellodon
Lineage: Eukaryota; Fungi; Basidiomycota; Agaricomycetes; Thelephorales; Thelephoraceae
Description: sequence contains ITS2
Source: RNAcentral